This 492-nucleotide ribosomal RNA is filed under the name uncultured bacterium. Its description in RNAcentral is "partial 16S ribosomal RNA". It matches the Rfam family "Bacterial small subunit ribosomal RNA", at positions 29 to 507 of the family's 1533-position model. The record is from RNAcentral.
AGUGAACGCUGGCGGUAGGCCUAACACAUGCAAGUCGAACGGCAGCACAGUAAGAGCUUGCUCUUACGGGUGGCGAGUGGCGGACGGGUGAGGAAUACAUCGGAAUCUACUUUUUCGUGGGGGAUAACGUAGGGAAACUUACGCUAAUACCGCAUACGACCUACGGGUGAAAGCAGGGGAUCUUCGGACCUUGCGCGAUUGAAUGAGCCGAUGUCGGAUUAGCUAGUUGGCGGGGUAAAGGCCCACCAAGGCGACGAUCCGUAGCUGGUCUGAGAGGAUGAUCAGCAACACUGGAACUGAGACACGCUCCAGACUCCUACGGGAGGCAGCAGUGGGGAAUAUUGGACAAUGGGCGCAAGCCUGAUCCAGCCAUACCGCGUGGGUGAAGAAGGCCUUCGGGUUGUAAAGCCCUUUUGUUGGGAAAGAAAAGCAGCAGGUUAAUACCCCGCUGUUCUGACGGUACCCAAAGAAUAAGCACCGGCUAGCUUCGUG